CUUGACGACCAUAGAGCGUUGGAACCACCUGAUCCCAUCCCGAACUCAGUAGUGAAACGACGCAUCGCCGAUGGUAGUGUGGGGUCUCCCCAUGUGAGAGUAGGUCAUCGUCAAGC
Pseudomonas sp. is the source of this 116-nucleotide non-coding RNA. Lineage: Bacteria; Pseudomonadati; Pseudomonadota; Gammaproteobacteria; Pseudomonadales; Pseudomonadaceae. The record is from Rfam.